Cavia porcellus (domestic guinea pig) is the source of this 267-nucleotide regulatory RNA element. It matches the Rfam family "Mason-Pfizer monkey virus packaging signal". Rfam says of the family: The packaging signal is located in the 5' UTR and is required for specific RNA encapsidation. NCBI's taxonomy places the organism in Eukaryota, Metazoa, Chordata, Mammalia, Rodentia, Caviidae. The record is from Rfam.
UGGCACCCAAUGUGCGGCACGAGAACAGGGGACUUCCUGAGGGGUGCUGUUCGUGGGCCCAAAGUAGAAAAAGGAAAAGAAAAUAGAGAACCCGGCCACAUGGGAGCCUGCCACGUUGCUGAGCCUCGGUAAGUGAACAGCAAUUAUGGGACAAGAAAUCAGCCAGCAUGAGCUUUUUGUUGAAAAGUUAGUAAAACUUUUAAAGGCAUGAGGGGUAAAGGUGAAUAUUAUGCCAACACUUUGAUUCUAUAAAAGAGAUUUGCCCUU